AGAGUUUGAUCCUGGCUCAGGACGAACGCUGGCGGCGUGCCUAACACAUGCAAGUCGAACGGAGUUAAGUGCUUCGGUAUUUAACUUAGCGGCGAACGGGUGAGUAACGCGUGAGAAACCUGCCUUUCAGUGGGGGACAACAGUUGGAAACGACUGCUAAUACCGCAUAAUGUUAUUUGGGGGCAUCCCUGGAUAACCAAAGAUUUAUUGCUGAAAGAUGGUCUCGCGUCUGAUUAGCUAGAUGGCGGGGUAACGGCCCACCAUGGCGACGAUCAGUAGCCGGUCUGAGAGGAUGAACGGCCACAUUGGGACUGAGAUACGGCCCAGACUCCUACGGGAGGCAGCAGUGGGGAAUAUUGGGCAAUGGGGGAAACCCUGACCCAGCAACGCCGCGUGAAGGAAGAAGGCCUUCGGGUUGUAAACUUCUUUUACCAGGGACGAAGAAAAUGACGGUACCUGGAGAAAAAGCAACGGCUAACUACGUGCCAGCAGCCGCGGUAAUACGUAGGUGGCAAGCGUUGUCCGGAAUUACUGGGUGUAAAGGGAGCGCAGGCGGGUCGGCAAGUUGGAAGUGAAACUCAUGGGCUCAACCCAUGACCUGCUUUCAAAACUGCCGGUCUUGAGUGGUGUAGAGGUAGGUGGAAUUCCCAGUGUAGCGGUGAAAUGCGUAGAUAUUGGGAGGAACACCAGUGGCGAAGGCGACCUACUGGGCACUAACUGACGCUGAGGCUCGAAAGCAUGGGUAGCAAACAGGAUUAGAUACCCUGGUAGUCCAUGCCGUAAACGAUGAUUACUAGGUGUAGGCUGUUUAUACACAGUCUGUGCCGCAGUUAACACAAUAAGUAAUCCACCUGGGGAGUACGAUCGCAAGAUUGAAACUCAAAGGAAUUGACGGGACCCCGCACAAGCAGUGGAGUAUGUGGUUUAAUUCGACGCAACGCGAAGAACCUUACCAGGUCUUGACAUCCUGUGACAGCCUUAGAGAUAAGGUAUUCCUUCGGGACACAGAGACAGGUGGUGCAUGGUUGUCGUCAGCUCGUGUCGUGAGAUGUUGGGUUAAGUCCCGCAACGAGCGCAACCCUUAUCGUCAGUUACUACGGAAGAGGACUCUGGCGAGACUGCCGUUGACAAAACGGAGGAAGGUGGGGAUGACGUCAAAUCAUCAUGCCCUUUAUGACCUGGGCUACACACGUACUACAAUGGCGCUAAACAAAGAGCAGCGAGAUCGCGAGAUGGAGCGAACCUCAAAAACAGCGUCUCAGUUCGGACUGCAGGCUGCAACCCGCCUGCACGAAGCCGGAAUUGCUAGUAAUCGCAGAUCAGCAUGCUGCGGUGAAUACGUUCCCGGGGUUUGCACUCACCGCCCGUCA
This 1370-nucleotide ribosomal RNA is filed under the name uncultured bacterium. RNAcentral describes it as "bacterial SSU rRNA". It matches the Rfam family "Bacterial small subunit ribosomal RNA". The record is from RNAcentral.